GACGAACGCUGGCGGCGUGCCUCAAACAUGCAAGUCGAGCGGGGAACUUUUAAAAGCGCAAGCUUUUAAAAGUUCCUAGCGGCGAACGGGUGAGUAACACGUGGGCAACCUACCCAGAAGACCGGGAUAACGGCUCGAAAGGGCCGCUAAUACCGGAUAAUGUCGGGGUACCGCAUGGUACUCCGAAGAAAGGGGAAACCCGCUUUUGGAUGGGCCCGCGUCCCAUCAGCUAGUUGGUGAGGUAACGGCUCACCAAGGCGACGACGGGUAGCCGGUCUGAGAGGAUGGUCGGCCACACUGGGACUGAGACACGGCCCAGACUCCUACGGGAGGCAGCAGUUGGGAAUCUUGGGCAAUGGGCGAAAGCCUGACCCAGCGACGCCGCGUGAGGGAAGAAGGCCUUCGGGUCGUAAACCUCUGUCAUGGGGAAGAAGCAAGUGACGGUACCCCAAGAGGAAGCCCCUGCUAACUACGUG
RNAcentral lists this ribosomal RNA (476 nucleotides) under uncultured bacterium. RNAcentral describes it as "bacterial SSU rRNA". It matches the Rfam family "Bacterial small subunit ribosomal RNA", at positions 28 to 507 of the family's 1533-position model. The record is from RNAcentral.